Molecule: ribosomal RNA, 33 nt
Filed under: Suillus spectabilis
Lineage: Eukaryota; Fungi; Basidiomycota; Agaricomycetes; Boletales; Suillaceae
Description: partial 18S ribosomal RNA
Source: RNAcentral
CCGUAGGUGAACCUGCGGAAGGAUCAUUAAUGA